Papilio machaon (common yellow swallowtail) is the source of this 1225-nucleotide long non-coding RNA. RefSeq lists it as uncharacterized. Lineage: Eukaryota; Metazoa; Arthropoda; Insecta; Lepidoptera; Papilionidae. The transcript has 4 exons. The record is from RefSeq and is a predicted model, not a curated record.
AGGUGUGUGAAGUGUGUGAGAGCAGCACCUUGGUGGUGACGCGGAUGUUGGCGAGCAUCUGGCCGUGCGCCUCCCACUCGCUGAUGUAACCAGGUAUAGACAGGAUAGUGUGUGAGGUGUGAGGUUUGUGAGGUGUGUGAGGUGUGUGAGAGCAGCACCUUGGUGGUGACGCGGAUGUUGGCGAGCAUCUGGCCGUGCGCCUCCCACUCGCUGAUGUAACCAGGUAUAGACAGGAUAGUGUGUGAGGUGUGAGGUUUGUGAGGUGUGUGAGGUGUGUGAGAGCAGCACCUUGGUGGUGACGCGGAUGUUGGCGAGCAUCUGGCCGUGCGCCUCCCACUCGCUGAUGUAACCAGGUAUAGACAGGAUAGUGUGUGAGGUGUGAGGUUUGUGAGGUGUGUGAGGUGUGUGAGAGCAGCACCUUGGUGGUGACGCGGAUGUUGGCGAGCAUCUGGCCGUGCGCCUCCCACUCGCUGAUGUAACCAGGUAUAGACAGGAUAGUGUGUGAGGUGUGAGGUUUGUGAGGUGUGUGAGGUGUGUGAGAGCAGCACCUUGGUGGUGACGCGGAUGUUGGCGAGCAUCUGGCCGUGCGCCUCCCACUCGCUGAUGUAACCAGGUAUAGACAGGAUAGUGUGUGAGGUGUGAGGUUUGUGAGGUGUGUGAGGUGUGUGAGAGCAGCACCUUGGUGGUGACGCGGAUGUUGGCGAGCAUCUGGCCGUGCGCCUCCCACUCGCUGAUGUAACCAGGUAUAGACAGGAUAGUGUGUGAGGUGUGAGGUUUGUGAGGUGUGUGAGGUGUGUGAGAGCAGCACCUUGGUGGUGACGCGGAUGUUGGCGAGCAUCUGGCCGUGCGCCUCCCACUCGCUGAUGUAACCAGGUAUAGACAGGAUAGUGUGUGAGGUGUGAGGGUUGUGAGGUGUGUGAGGUGUGUGAGAGCAGCACCUUGGUGGUGACGCGGAUGUUGGCGAGCAUCUGGCCGUGCGCCUCCCACUCGCUGAUGUAACCAGGUAUAGACAGGAUAGUGUGUGAGGUGUGAGGUUUGUGAGGUGUGUGAGGUGUGUGAGAGCAGCACCUUGGUGGUGACGCGGAUGUUGGCGAGCAUCUGGCCGUGCGCCUCCCACUCGCUGAUGUAACCAGGUAUAGACAGGAUAGUGUGUGAGGUUUGUGAGGUGUGUGAGGUGUGUGAGAGCAGCACCUUGGUGGUGACGCGGAUGUUGGCGAGCAUCUGG